RNAcentral lists this small RNA (21 nucleotides) under Arabidopsis thaliana (thale cress). Lineage: Eukaryota; Viridiplantae; Streptophyta; Magnoliopsida; Brassicales; Brassicaceae. The record is from RNAcentral.
AUGUAAGCCAUGUAUCUAGGA